This 463-nucleotide ribosomal RNA is filed under the name uncultured bacterium. Its description in RNAcentral is "bacterial SSU rRNA". It matches the Rfam family "Bacterial small subunit ribosomal RNA", at positions 28 to 507 of the family's 1533-position model. The record is from RNAcentral.
GAUAAACGCUGGCGGCGUGCUUAACACAUGCAAGUCGAACGAAGUUUUCUUUCGGGAGGAACUUAGUGGCGGACGGGUGAGUAACGCGUGGGUAACCUGCCCUGUACAGGGGGACAACAGCUGGAACGGCUGCUAAUACCGCAUAAGCCCUUAGCACUGCAUGGUGCAUAGGGAAAAGGAGCAAAUCCGGUACAGGAUGGACCCGCGUCUGAUUAGGCCAGUUGGCAGGGUAACGGCCUACCAAAGCGACGAUCAGUAGCCGAUCUGAGAGGAUGUACGGCCAUAUUGGGACUGAGACACGGCCCAGACUCCUACGGGAGGCAGCAGUGGGGAAUAUUGCACAAUGGGGGAAACCCUGAUGCAGCGACGCCGCGUGAGUGAAGAAGUAUUUCGGUAUGUAAAGCUCUAUCAGCAGGGAAGAUAAUGACGGUACCUGAGUAAGAAGCUCCGGGCUAAAUACGUG